GCAUAACACAUGCAAGUCGAACGAUGAAACUUAAAUGAUUUCUUCGGAAUGAACUUAAGUGGAUUAGUGGCGGACGGGUGAGUAACGCGUGAGUAACCUGCCUUACACAAGGGGAUAGCCGUUGGAAACGACGAAUAAUACCCUAUGAUGUUUCUAUCUCGCAUGAGAUAUUAACCAAAGUGUUAGCGGUGUAAGAUGGACUUGCGUCUGAUUAGCUAGUUGGUGAGAAAAAAGCCCACCAAGGCAACGAUCAGUAGCCGGCUUGAGAGAGUGUACGGCCACAUUGGGACUGAGACACGGCCCAGACUCCUACGGGAGGCAGCAGUGGGGAAUUUUGCACAAUGGGGGAAACCCUGAUGCAGCGACGCCGCGUGAUUUAGAAGGCCUUCGGGUUGUAAAAAUCUUUUGUAUAGGAAGAAAAUGACAGUACUAUACGAAUAAGGUCCGGCUAAUUACGUGCCAGCAGCCGCGGUAAUACGUAAGGACCGAGCGUUGUCCGGAAUCAUUGGGCGUAAAGGGUACGUAGGCGGGGCAUUAAGUUAGAAGUCAAAGGCUAUAGCUCAACUAUAGUAAGCUUCUAAAACUGGCGACCUUGAGUAAUGGAAGGGAAAGUGGAAUUCCUAGUGUAGCGGUGGAAUGCGCAGAUAUUAGGAGGAAUACCGGUGGCGAAGGCGACUUUCUGGCCAUUAACUGACGCUGAGGUACGAAAGCGUGGGUAGCAAACA
This 725-nucleotide ribosomal RNA is filed under the name uncultured Eubacteriales bacterium. RNAcentral describes it as "bacterial SSU rRNA". It matches the Rfam family "Bacterial small subunit ribosomal RNA", at positions 46 to 774 of the family's 1533-position model. The record is from RNAcentral. Lineage: Bacteria; Bacillati; Bacillota; Clostridia; Eubacteriales.